Molecule: ribosomal RNA, 486 nt
Filed under: uncultured bacterium
Lineage: Bacteria
Description: partial 16S ribosomal RNA
Rfam family: Bacterial small subunit ribosomal RNA
Source: RNAcentral
GACGAACGCUGGCGGCGUGCUUAACACAUGCAAGUCGAACGCUGAAGACCUGGCUUUUGUUGGGUUGGAUGAGUGGCGAACGGGUGAGUAACACGUGAGUAACCUGCCCUCUUCUUUGGGAUAACGCCCGGAAACGGGUGCUAAUACUGGAUAUUCACUGGCCUUCGCAUGGGGGUUGGUGGAAAGGUUUGUUCUGGUGGGGGAUGGGCUCGCGGCCUAUCAGCUUGUUGGUGGGGUGAUGGCCAACCAAGGCUUUGACGGGUAGCCGGCCUGAGAGGGUGACCGGUCACAUUGGGACUGAGAUACGGCCCAGACUCCUACGGGAGGCAGCAGUGGGGAAUAUUGCACAAUGGGCGAAAGCCUGAUGCAGCGACGCCGCGUGAGGGAUGGAGGCCUUCGGGUUGUAAACCUCUUUCGCUCAUGGUCAAGCCGCAACUGUGGGUUGUGGUGAGGGUAGUGGGUAAAGAAGCGCCGGCUAACUACGUG